GCCUGGGUGGCUCCGUCGGUUGAGCAUCUGACUUCAGCUCAGGUCAUGAUCUCACAGUUCGAGGGUUCGAGCCCCACGUCAGGCU
Molecule: non-coding RNA, 85 nt
Organism: Felis catus (domestic cat)
Lineage: Eukaryota; Metazoa; Chordata; Mammalia; Carnivora; Felidae
Source: Rfam